CAUUGUUGCAUAUUCGACUUGCUGCUUAUUCUACAUCAUAUGUGCUUAGAAAGGGCUUAGUUUGUUGUUUUUAGGGGUGGAGGUGGUGGUGGUAAAGAAACAGUAUAUGUAUAAUUACAUCCGCUUUUUUACUUGUGUACGUGACGUCACACGUUGCAUGGCGCCAUAUUGCCGGUUUUAUCUAGAUGCUCGUCAGUUUGGGAGUCGUUGAACUGGAGCAUAUUUUUCAUAUUCCCGAGACCUAUGCUGUUGGUUGUCACAAUGGACGAGACAGUUCUUCAAAGAGAGCAUUCUAUGGAAUACAUGCUGAAAAGAUUGAUGGAUUUCGGCAAUUAAACUGGAUGGAUCGUGUGCAACCAAAUACACACAGCUAUGCAGCAAUCAUUUCAUUUCAGCCUCAGUGACGAACGAUCCGCGGCCGCUUCACAACCAAUCCUUGGCAGCGACCAGCCCCUGGCUGCCUCACAACCUCGCCUCGGCGUUAACCGACCAACGGCUAUCUCCCGACCGAGCCUCGUCAGCGACCGAUCCCCGGCCGCCUCACAACCAUAUCCUGGAAGGUCUUCGUCCGGAGCAGUCGCAUGCUUCCGUCUGGUUCCUGCUUCGCCGUUGGGUUCCUCCUUGAGGACGUCCACCCGAAUCACCCCAUGGGGAGCUUGGUGCUUGGCGUCCGGGCCGACCUCCUGACCUGCCCGGUCGGACGCCUCGCUUUUGGUGGCCAACAGACAGACUGCGGUUGGGGCAGUGAUGGCCUCCCUUGGAUCCCCUUCAACCCGCCCCUGGACAUGUUUUUUUUGUGUGUUUCUUUUGUCUGGGCACGCCUGGGAUCCGUGCCUUAAAAGGGGAGGGGAGGGUGUUCUGUCAUAAACUAAGCUGGACCACGGUCAAGAGGGGUGUGGCCACUGUCCUGGCCGGUAACACCUGUCACUGCUCACAGCUGCUUCACAUUGGGACUGUAAUUAGAUGGUGUAUUUAAAUUGGAGUUGUGGUCACUGGCAUUUGCCAGUUCGUUGUGUUCAUUGUGCCCUGAGUUAGUGAGUUGCUCUGUGUUACCUUGUGCGGAAACUCCUGCAAUAAAACCCAUUGAACAUAAUGCACUGGUCCCGGAGUCCUCCAUUUGGGUCCUCCCCCACACUGAUGGCUUUCUCUAGGUCUACACCAACAGUGAGGGAUGCUGUCAAGCUGAAGAAGGAGUGCUACCGGGCAUUUCUGGCCUGUGUGACUCCUGAGGCAGCUGAUAGGUAUCAAAAUCAGGUGAAGCUACGAGCACAUCAUCUAAGCAGACUAUGAUUUGGCUGCCGCCUGGGGGCUGAAACGUGGACAUGCUUGCCGUCAUAACUUCAAACCCAAACUGGUUGUCUUUGUCAACUGGGACUGAGAAAAAUGCAUUGCUAAUGACUACCACUGUGAAUACAGCAGCGUCUGGUUUCAGAUUGUUUCACAACAUUUGUGGGUCAGGGACACAAGGAGCUCUUUGUAUUACUGCUGAAUUUACUGCAUGUAAAUCCUGAACCUUCCUCCAUGCCACCAAAGGAGGGGCCUGUUUUAGAGGAAAUAUGGGUGUGUUGCAUGGUGAAUCAUUACACUCCACUAUCACUCCUGCAUUCAGCAAGUCAUUGAGUACUGGUUUACUCCCUCGAGUGCAUCUGGUUUGAAUGGAUAUUGUCGCACACAGGGUCUGUACUCGGUUUUGGGUCUGAUUUGCACUGGUAAUGCUUCUUUUAUGAGUCCUACAUCUGAUGGUCCCUGUGACCACAAUUUAUUAGGCAUUCCUUUUAAUAAUUCCUCCUCAUCCUCACUGAGGCCCAAAAGGGUAAAAUUUGUCUCAUCCGGUCAGUAUGAGUGUAUCCCCAUUUGUAUGUGCACUGUCCAAUUAAGUGUGUUUCUGUACAGUUCAGUCUCCUCACUAUAAUCCAAGACUGGUUCUAUUUCUGUCCAAUCAGAAACAUUUUUUGCUGCCUGUACAAAUUGUUGCAAACUCUUCCACUCCUGUAGUGUGUUUGUACAAUAUGUGCGGGGGUGUUCAUUCCUUGUGUUAUGCAUUUAGUUUGUCAGUCAAUUGUGUUCCUGCUGCCACGACUGAUAUACCAUCUGAGUAGAGAUAAUCAAUAGUGAUUUUGGUUGGUGUGGCUUGUAAUAAAUUUCUUGUACUGUUUAUUAGGCCCUUUUAUAUUCUUGUACCACAUGGUGGCAUGCAGUGAGCCACUUCCCAUUUCAUCUUGUGGUUGUUCAAUCAUGUCUUGAGCUGUUUGCAGCAAGAGAUCUCAUGUUCUUGUGGGAUGUUUGUUUGGAACGUCCAAGGUGUAAUGAUAGAGUUCUGGUUUUCUAUUUUCUAAUACAUUGAACUGUCCUCCCAGUAGUUCCUUUUUCUUUUUACUUUGAUAUGUCCUGUCGGAGCCAUCUCUUCCCGACAAAUUUACGGGGCAAUCUGGAACCAUGAGCAUUGUCAAUUUACACUACUCUCCCAGGGAGUCUAUUACCCAAAUGGGAUUUGUUUCGGCGACAACAGAGAGCCUUCCCUUAGCUGUUCUGACAAACACUUUCCUUCCUAACAUCGUGCGUCCUUGAAUGCUUUCUCUACAGGCUGUUUUACACGCCCCUGUGACACAAAAAUUUCGACUUCCCAUUUACUAUCAGUUCCACCUCGGGUUGAGCCCAGUCUCGUGCAAGAAUUUCCUGUAAAUUUAGUUCAAUGUCUGCUUCUUGAGCAUCGGUUGUGACAUUUUGACGGGAGGAUGGCUGCUUCAGUCAUGCGGUGGUGGGUGUUUUGUUUUUAGGGCAGUCAUAUGAAAUGUGACCUUUUUCUCCACAACACCAGCCAUUAAUUUCUGAGAAAAUAAAUAAACUGA
Syngnathoides biaculeatus (alligator pipefish) is the source of this 2849-nucleotide long non-coding RNA. RefSeq lists it as uncharacterized. The record is from RefSeq and is a predicted model, not a curated record. The transcript is spliced from 5 exons. NCBI's taxonomy places the organism in Eukaryota, Metazoa, Chordata, Actinopteri, Syngnathiformes, Syngnathidae.